This 1962-nucleotide ribosomal RNA is filed under the name metagenome. RNAcentral describes it as "bacterial LSU rRNA". The stretch from base 518 to 1962 matches the Rfam family "Bacterial large subunit ribosomal RNA", at positions 1 to 1977 of the family's 2925-position model. The record is from RNAcentral.
GCUGCGGUAAAUUUUGCCGUAAGAGAAUCGGUAUUUAAAAGUUCCUGCGCAAGAUCUGUUACUGGCUUUAGCUGAUCCGACGGUUCAAAUGUCAUCGCGCAAUCCGCUGUAAUAUCAUAGCCAUUUCCUGCCACCAGCUUUUGCAGCGUCUCGAUGGUCUGUCCUGCAUUCAUAAUAAAAUGCAUAUAGAAGAUGAUCGCUCCAAUCAAAAAAGCUGCCAGAACAAGUCCCACUGCAAGCACUGCUUUUUUUCUUUUGCUCAUAUACCCACUUCCUUUCAACCAGCUUACAGGACUUUAGUCCUUUACAAAAAUUAUAAAGCCUUUGAUCUUUUCUGUAAACGGACAAAAUGGCUCUUUUGUAAGGCUAUUAAAAAUUAGGGAGAUUUUUUCUCCCCUAUCAUUCGAGUAAGCAAGCACAAAAAUAAGGCGUAUACCUUAUUCAGAUAUACGCCUUUUCGGUGUACUAACGGUGUACUAACCGACCGUUAUUUGACACGUUUUGUUGUUUUCUUUGGUUCCGAUUUUCUUUGAUUUUCCUUGAAAAAUUAGAACUUGUCGGAGCACAGCAAUGUGUGACGGCGUGCCUUUUGCAUAAUGAUCCUACGAGUUACCGUCACUGGCGAGGUUGAGUGUCAUGAGACACGUAGCCGCAGUGAAAGCGAGCCUGAACAGGGCGCAUAGUCAGUGGGGGUAGACGCGAAACCAAGUGAUCUACACUUGGCCAGGAUGAAGUCCCGGUAACACGGGAUGGAGGUCCGCACCAAUAAGCGUUGAAAAGCUUCUGGAUGAGCCGAGUGUAGGAGUGAAAGGCCAAUCAAACUUGGAGAUAGCUCGUACUCCCCGAAAGGCAUUUAGGUGCCGCGUCGGAUGGUCACCGUGAGAGGUAGAGCGACCGAUAGGACAAGAGGGCUUCACCGCCUAUCGAGUCCUGACGAACUCCGAAUGCUCACGGUCUGCAGUCCGGCAGUAAGGGGGCGGGUGCUAAGGUCCGUCCCCGAGAGGAGAAGAAUCCAGACCGCCGUCUAAGGUCCCGGAGUUCUGCCUGAGUUAGUCUAACGAAGUCUGGUCCCUAUGACAGCUAGGAUGUUGGCUUGGAAGCAGCCAUUCAUUCAAAGAGUGCGUAACAGCUCACUAGUCGAGGGUCCGGGCAUGGAUAAUAAUCGGGUAUAAGGCAGACACCGAAGGCGCGGGAUAGCAUUUAAGAAAGUAUCGGUAGGGGAGCAUACUCACAGCGUCGAAUGGUGUACGUAAGUUAUCCUGGAGCGGUGAGUAAAGCAAAUGUAGGAAUAAGUAACGAUAAGGAGGGUUAGAUUCCCUCCCGCUGUAAGACCAAGGUUUCCCGGGCAAUGCCAAUCAGCCCGGGGUCAGUCGGGUCCUAAGUCUAAGCCGAACGGCGAUGGCGAUGGCAGAGACGGUUAAUAUUCCGUCACUGCCGCAUGGGGCGAUGUGGAGACGGAGCAGUGAAACCACCGCGGGGCGACGGAAGUCCCCGUUGAAGAGUGUAGGUGUUGAGGAUGGCAGGCAAAUCCACCAUCCGAGCUGAACUUGAUAGUAUGGAGUCUUCUUCGGAAGAAUCCAAUAGUGUGGGUAAUCAUACUCCCGAGAAAAUCCGCUAAGCUUAACCCAUGCGGCACCCGUACCGCAAACGGACACACGUGGUCGGGUAGAACAUACUAAGGCGUUGAGAGAUUCAUGGUUAAGGAACUAGGCAAAUUGACCCUGUAACUUCGGGAUAAAGGGUCCUCGUGAUGAGCGAGGCGCAGAGAAUAGGUCCAGGCAACUGUUUAACAAAAACACAGGGCUGUGCAAACUCGAAAGAUGACGUAUACAGCCUGACACCUGCCCGGUGCCGGAAGGUUAAGAGGAGAUGUCACUCGCAAGAGGAAGCAUUGAAUUGAAGCCCCGGUAAACGGCGGCCGUAACUAUAACGGUCCUAAGGUAGCGAAAUUCCUUGUCGGGU